UUAAAGACUGGGAACGGGAGGAGUAAUUCAGUUUGUUCUUCUCCAGAGAGAGGGGACCAGAGGCUGAAAGUCCCCUUAGAAGAGACUGAAUGAAGGUCGCCCGGGAGUUGCCUGGCUGAAUAGAGUAGGUCGGGACGGUUAAACCGUUAUCUUGGCAUGAGAGCUACUUCACCGUUAUCGUUAUAGUGGUGGAGUAGAAGUAAGGUGGUACCACGGAAGAAAGGUCCUCUUUCGUCCUUAAC
This 242-nucleotide non-coding RNA is filed under the name Halothermothrix orenii. RNAcentral describes it as "T-box sequence". It matches the Rfam family "T-box leader". From Rfam's summary of the family: Uncharged tRNA acts as the effector for transcription antitermination of genes in the T-box leader family. T-boxes are found upstream of many aminoacyl-tRNA synthetase genes and some amino acid biosynthetic genes usually in Gram-positive bacteria. The anticodon of a specific tRNA base pairs to a specifier sequence within the T-box motif, and the NCCA acceptor tail of the tRNA base pairs to a conserved bulge in the T-box antiterminator hairpin. The record is from RNAcentral. Lineage: Bacteria; Bacillati; Bacillota; Clostridia; Halanaerobiales; Halothermotrichaceae.